Molecule: non-coding RNA, 258 nt
Organism: Camellia sinensis
Lineage: Eukaryota; Viridiplantae; Streptophyta; Magnoliopsida; Ericales; Theaceae
Source: RefSeq, a predicted model, not a curated record
UUAUUUAUUUUUGUGAGCAGGGAAAGUUUUGGUUUCUCCAAUUGAGAGAUAUGCAGUUGUUCCUGAUGACAACGUCAAAAGGAUAAAUUUUGCCGAGGGGAAGAUCUGAUUCUAGAAGUAAGGAAUUUGCAGCUUGAUUUUUGAAAUAGGCUCAAAAUUGAGAUCUUGUUGGAAAUUUUUUAAUUUUUGUAAGAGCAUUUAAAUAUCCAAUGUGCUGAUUGGUGAAUUUUAGAUUUUAUUUUAUUAUUUUAUUUUUUU